AACUUCAUCACAAAAGGUGGGCGUAACUCGUGUAAUUUUUGUUGGAUGAGAUCGAUGAUACUUCCAAGAUGAUAAAUCAAAUAGUACGAUUUUUACGGAACUUAAUGCGAAACAUCGUGAUUUUCUUAAUAAAUAAUGUAAAUAAAAUUCACACAAAUCAAAACCUCAUUGUGUGAAUGUAUGUUAUUUCAUACAUAAAAAAAAUGAAAAUAUUCAUACGUGCAAAGAAGAUUGCUUAGUUUUUCUCUCGGGACGAGGAGAAUGUUCGCGCGAUAAAUCGAAUUUACAUGUCCAAUACGUGAUGGAAACCUUCCAUCGCAUCGAGUCGUACGUCCUGGCACCGUUUCUCUCCGUAGUUCUCUGUCUUUUUUCUUCCCGGACACGUACGUUUAACAAGAGAGCGAAGCAGGUUGCGGGCGGAUGACAAACAAAGAGCGCCGUGACCUCGUCGCCUUGUGCGUGAGGUGCGAUUAGCGCGAACGACUCUCUCGCGCGUGCGAGCGAGCGAGUGAGUGAGUGAGCGAGCGAGUCGUCGCGUCGGGUCGGUCGCGAAAGAUGUGGGAGGAAGGCAAAGAGAGAAGGAAGCACGCGCGGACGAAGGAAGGAUAAACGAAGGAAGGAAGAAGUCGGGUACGUAAGCCGACCAAAGGUCGAGUGCUGACCACGAGUCAUCUCGGUUGCGACAACUCGCGCUGCUGUUAACUUUUGCGUGUCUCGCUACGUUGUACAAAAAUCAAAUGUAAAAAAAGAAUCUCUACGUCAGAAUUCAAAUUUUUCGCGAAAGAAAUUGUGAAAGAUGCAAAAAGAAUAUUGUGAGGAUGCAAAAACGAAAAGAUAACAAUGUAUUCUUUAUAUUAUUUUUAACAGUUUAUAUAUAUCGUGGAUUUAUUAUUCUGAGAAUCGAUUAACGUCGAUACGCCUAUACGCGAUAAGAUACGAACAAUUAAAACGAGUGUUUUCGAAAGGCAGACGGGACAGGUCGCGCGCAGAGAUGAAACACAAGACAACCACGCGCGCGAUGAGCGAUUAGUGUUGGAUUAUCUCACCUGCGAAGUCACCGAGAAGGUCAGAGCGUGACGAUAGAAGAACAAGAAAAGAAGCGACGGACUGGAAGCGGGUACUUUACUCGAUCAAAGGUCGAGCCUCGCGCAUAACUUGCCGUAGCAUCGAUAAACGAGUUCCCUAUCGCGCUUUCCAUUUUCGCUCGUGGAGAUGGCAUCUCGCCAUAUGGCGGAUGAACGACGAGGCACAUACGGGGAAUUAACGCGAGAAGUUAUUGACAAAUAGAUAGUAUAUACAUGCCGCUAAUUGCCACGUGGCGCAGGUGACUGGAAGAACGGAACAUCUCGACAAUGAAGCUCAACAGGUUGCCGGCGGAUAGCAGCGAGCUUGACUACUGCCGUACGAACGGCAAUUAGCACGGGCGAUUCUUUCGCGUAUAUAACAUCACCGUGGACAAAAACUUGAGGAAACGCGCGAGGCGCAUCCGCGCAUGGAGAGUCUAAAUCACUUCAUUGUUAAGUCCCACGACAAAAACGCAGUAGUUUCGCAAAACAAGAUGCUGCUGCGGAAUAAAUCAAUGCAUUUUUAAGCGCAUUGUAUUCAUUGAUAUACCGUUAACAUAACCCUCGUACAAUCAUCGUCCUUUGAUAUUGCAGAGAGGCUGCAGUUUUACGACACGAUGCCUCGACGAGAGUCCGGAGACUUUUGCGGAGGACUGUACCCUACCGAGCAAGCAGUUAGCAUUAGGCACGAUGACGAAGAAGGCCAGGGACUCGGUGAGAUGAUAGCGAGCGCGUUCGCUGACGGCUCGCAUCGGUCACACCGCAGGUGACUCGUCGCGGUCUGAGCCUGGCCUCUGCCCGACCCACGUACCUGAUUCUAUCCGGUGUCCUUCUCCGUCAUCUCUAACUCCCGUUUUCUCUCUCGUGCAGAAACGCGAGAGAUAUCCGCGGACUCUACUAAACAACGAGGUCUUGAAUACCUUGUAUGUGGAAAAAUUUUUUCUACAUAUCUUUGUUAAGAGAGCAGAUAAAUCUCUCUGUAACCGUUAAUUUCAAACAGGAGGUAUCGCGUAUACGUAAUUUCUAAUUAUAAAAACGAGAAAAUUCUUUACGCUCUCGCGCAGAACACGUUAAAAAUGUAUAAACUAUUGUUAAUAAAAGAGAGCCAAGCUUUUUACGUA
Wasmannia auropunctata (little fire ant) is the source of this 2185-nucleotide long non-coding RNA. RefSeq lists it as uncharacterized. NCBI's taxonomy places the organism in Eukaryota, Metazoa, Arthropoda, Insecta, Hymenoptera, Formicidae. The record is from RefSeq and is a predicted model, not a curated record. The transcript has 2 exons.